GGAAAGAAGGGGAUUCAUUGGUAUGCGUGGAAGGAUGUGUGUGUCUUGAAAGAAGCAGGUGGCCUUGGUUUUAGAAAACUUGAUAAAUUUAAUAUUGCAUUAUUAGCUAAACAGGGUUGGCAUCUUAUUAAUUUUUGAAAUUCUUUGUUAGCCCGAGUAUUGAAAGCUAAAUACUAUCCGAAUGCGUUUUUUCUAACAGCUCAAUUAGGAAAUUUACCUUCGCUUACCUGGAAGAGUAUCUGGUCGGCAAAAGGUAUUCUGGAAGAAGGACUUUGUUGGAGGGUUGGCAAAGGGGAUCGUAUUUCUGUUUGGGAGGACCUCUGGAUUUCAGGCAAUGAAGAAGACAGAUUGCAAAAUCAUCAGGGAAAUGGAAAUACUACAUUAGUUUCGGAUUUGAUUGAUGCAGAUAGUAGAGAGUGGAAAGAUGAUAUUAUUUCUAAUACCUUCAAUGUGGAAGUUGCUAAAAAGAUCUUGCAGAUUCCAUUGGCAACGUCAGCAAAUGAAGAUUUUCAAGUCUGGAGAGGAGAACCUU
This 532-nucleotide long non-coding RNA is filed under the name Gossypium raimondii (Peruvian cotton). RNAcentral describes it as "long non-coding RNA (GRAI_LNC007384)". The record is from RNAcentral. Lineage: Eukaryota; Viridiplantae; Streptophyta; Magnoliopsida; Malvales; Malvaceae.